Molecule: ribosomal RNA, 550 nt
Filed under: uncultured bacterium
Lineage: Bacteria
Description: partial 16S ribosomal RNA
Rfam family: Bacterial small subunit ribosomal RNA
Source: RNAcentral
UGAGGAAUAUUGGUCAAUGGGUGCAAGCCUGAACCAGCCAUCCCGCGUGAAGGACGACUGCCCUAUGGGUUGUAAACUUCUUUUGUAUAGGGAUAAACCUACCCUCGUGAGGGUAGCUGAAGGUACUAUACGAAUAAGCACCGGCUAACUCCGUGCCAGCAGCCGCGGUAAUACGGAGGGUGCAAGCGUUAUCCGGAUUUAUUGGGUUUAAAGGGUCCGUAGGCGGACUUAUAAGUCAGUGGUGAAAGCCUGUCGCUUAACGAUAGAACUGCCAUUGAUACUGUAAGUCUUGAGUAUAUUUGAGGUAGCUGGAAUAAGUAGUGUAGCGGUGAAAUGCAUAGAUAUUACUUAGAACACCAAUUGCGAAGGCAGGUUACCAAGAUAUAACUGACGCUGAGGGGACGAAAGCGUGGGGGAGCGAACAGGAUUAGAUACCCUGGUAGUCCACGCCGUAAACGAUGCUAACUCGUUUUUGGGCUUUAGGGUUCAGAGACCAAGCGAAAGUGAUAAGUUAGCCACCUGGGGGAGUACGCUCGCAAGAGUGAAACUC